CGCGAAUUGCUCAUUACAACAGCCUUAGUUUAUUGGAUCUUAGAGUCCUACUUGGAUAACUGUGGUAAUUCUAGAGCUAAUACACGCAAUUAAUCCUCAACCUUACGGGCGAGGAGCAUUUAUUAGAACAAAACCAAUCGGCUUCGGCCGUAUCUGGUGAAUCUGAAUAACUACGCUGAUCGCAUGGUCUCGUACCGGCGACAUAUCCUUCAAGUGUCUGCCUUAUCAACUGUCGAUGGUAGUUUACACGCCUACCAUGGUUGUAACGGGUAACGGAGAAUAAGGGUUCGACUCCGGAGAGGGAGCCUGAGAAACGGCUACCACAUCCAAGGAAGGCAGCAGGCGCGCAAAUUACCCACUCUCAGAACGAGGAGGUAGUGACGAAAAAUAACGAGACAGUUCUCUAUGAGGUCUGUCAUCGGAAUGGGUACAAUUUAAACCCUUUAACGAGGAUCUAUUGGAGGGCAAGUCUGGUGCCAGCAGCCGCGGUAAUUCCAGCUCCAAUAGCGUAUAUUAAAGUUGUUGCGGUUAAAAAGCUCGUAGUUGGAUCUGCGGUCGUAGACUCUGGUUCCCUCCUAGGGAUACUAGCUGUCUCGACCUACCUUGUUAGAUUUCCCUUGGUGCUCUUUACUGAGUGCCUUGGGUGUCUAGCUCGUUUACUUUGAAAAAAUUAGAGUGCUUAAAGCAGGCAUUUGCCUGAAUAGUGGUGCAUGGAAUAAUGGAAUAGGACCUCGGUUCUAUUUUGUUGGUUUUCGGAGCAUGAGGUAAUGAUUAAGAGGGACAGACGGGGGCAUUCGUACUGCUACGUUAGAGGUGAAAUUCUUGGAUCGUAGCAUGACGAACAACUGCGAAAGCAUUUGCCAAGAAUGUUUUCAUUAAUCAAGAACGAUAGUUAGAGGUUCGAAGGCGAUCAGAUACCGCCC
Molecule: ribosomal RNA, 923 nt
Filed under: Nematoda environmental sample
Lineage: Eukaryota; Metazoa; Nematoda
Description: SSU rRNA
Rfam family: Eukaryotic small subunit ribosomal RNA
Source: RNAcentral